RNAcentral lists this long non-coding RNA (829 nucleotides) under Sinocyclocheilus anshuiensis. Its description in RNAcentral is "lncRNA (ENSSANG00000043874.1)". Lineage: Eukaryota; Metazoa; Chordata; Actinopteri; Cypriniformes; Cyprinidae. The record is from RNAcentral.
GUAAAGUGUAACUUUAUGUCUUCCUCUUUUCUUUCAGUCCCAGAAUGUGGCUGUGGAGUUGAUUAGUGGUUCACUGAGCCAGAUUUUACCCAGCGUCCCUCAGAGAGGAAACAUCCAAAGCCUCCAGAAGAUCAAACCUGUAGAGAUUUCCCAUAUACUCCACGCACAGCUCUCAGAGACUGACAAAGUUGGCAACAGUGCAAGUGAGAAGUUACAGAGACUCUAUCUGCAGAAGCAACAACAACAUGGAAGUUCUAGGCAUCAGCUGGUCACACUUCUGAAAGAGCUGGAGCUUCUUGAAACCCCGCUGGCAGCGCAAGGACAGCACAAGGCCAAGCAUCAGACGCAGGAAGCCCACGUAGCGGCCGCCAUCACCGGGUGGAGAGGCCAGACUAAAGAGGGCAAGAAAAACCAGGCUGCCCAAGUUCCACAAGAAACUGUGAUGGACAUUCAGAAGCAGAUCCAAAGCCUGGAAGUCAAUCACAUUCCAGCCCAGCUGGAAGAGACUAAGCGCGGCAUGAAGGUGCUUCUCAAAGACCAGGGAACGAGCACCUGUGACGACGACGCUCAGAUUCAGUUUAGGGAUGUGGCUGUGGUCACUGAUUCAUCAGCAGAGCGUUUGGCUGCAGAAGAGCUGCUGGAGUCUCUGAGGAAAGUGGAGGACGUGGUUUCACAGGCCUUGCGGGCAGCUCAGGUGCUCAUGGGCAGCGAGGAGAGGAUAGAGGCCAUCGGCAUGAGGGUGGAGAAAGCACUGAGCAGAGCUGAAGCUAUUGAGAGUCAACUCAGUGCCCUGGAGGCCACCAUCUCUGCUAACACACAGGUAUGGACC